Ciona intestinalis (vase tunicate) is the source of this 2521-nucleotide non-coding RNA. NCBI's taxonomy places the organism in Eukaryota, Metazoa, Chordata, Ascidiacea, Phlebobranchia, Cionidae. The record is from RefSeq and is a predicted model, not a curated record.
UUGUUUAAAACACGGGAUAUUUGAAUAUUAUGUGUCAAAGGUGUCCCGUCUUCCACCACCCUACUAUAACAUGCACAACUUGGGAUCCGAGAGGCACGGUAUAGGGUGCGGCAUUACCCCACAAUAUAAAAAAGCAAUUAAUUGAUCGCCAUCUGAGUUUAAGUGUCUCGCAACUAAAGAACACCGUUCCAGUAAACUGAAAUUUUGUAUCGAAUUUCGUUGGGUUUAAAACCCAGCUUUACACCACCGAACCCUUAGAGUGUCGUAUAAGAAUACAUUAUUUCUUUCCUUCACCAAACGGUCCGCAAGUAACUUGUACUGGCAUAAAAUAUUAAUGACCUUUCGAUCCGACUAUUUGGUUCGGUUAUUAUUUCCCAUGAUCGACCCACGAAAGAUAUUUAUCCCCUAGAACUGGAUUUAGUUUUACCGUCAAUGAGAUCUUGGCAGACGAAGCAGAAUCGUCAUUGGGCUGUAGGGUGUUAGGGAAAUUAUGUGUAAGAGUCGGAGUUUAUGUUAGUCAGUGUAAAGUACUGUAAGGUAUAGCAUGGACAACGUUAAUAGCAAUUAGUAACGUAUGUUUCCUAAUCGUGUUUUAUAACAGCCAAAAACGCUCCCUUAGAAUCGUGAGUCUACUAUACGGUUAUAUAAUUCAGUAAGUAUUUUUUGUUUAAUAUUUAAUGGGACGAUAAAAGAGAAUGAAAACAUGGGCUAUUUACCGCAACUUACUAUAUAGGUGUGAUGUGCGUAAUAGGUUUUGUUUCAAGUUUUAUUUUAAACACGGGACAUGUUGACGGCGUUGGGAGACAGAAUUAUAAACCAACUCAAAAUAAAACAAGUAUUCAAAUUUGUAAUUGUUGGCAGAUAUAAUUAAACGGAUCAUGGUUAGGUCUUGGUUUAUGGUAGUUAGUUUAGCGAAGCUUCGAAUGUUUUUCAUGGCGACACUUGUGCUGUGGCUGUUAAUUGGACUCGUGUUUCAAAUAACGCAAGAAAGUCACAUAUUAAAGAACUCAAGCCUCAAGGAAAUAAUCAAGUCUACUAAAACUGAUACUAAUGAUUUAAGAAUCACAUCUAUGCCGAUGACUGAACGGACGUUGCCGAAACGACUAGCACCUGUUCGGUGCAAUAACAGCAGUGGAUGUCACCUCAGAACGCCAUAUAGCGAAUGGUCUCGAAAUAUAGAUGGUACUGCCUAUGUAGGAAACGAGGGAUUAAACCAAAUUCACUGUCGGGUAAAACCGGCAAACUAUAGCUUAAAUCAAGCCCGCAUGUUCGAAUCUCUGCCUAAGAACUUUUUAGAAUAUUCAAGACUCCCAACGGCGCCGCCUUUCUGCGGGAGACGAGGCCUCCUAUCCCCGUGGAAGUUUACGGAAAGUUCGAAAGAAAUUUGGAUGAUAUUUAUAGUUAAAUCCGCCACACACCACAUGCAAGCGAGAGAUGUAAUCAGGGAGACAUGGGGUUCAAUCGAAUUUUUACGAGGAACGAGGUUCGCCACAUUAUUUCUACUCGGGAGGACAUCAACGUCAGAAGAACAAUUUCUUCUCAACAGAGAGAACGAAAUGUUUGGGGAUCUUUUACAAUGUGAUUUACUGGAUGAAUACAAAGCCCUUCCACUAAAGGUUUUAUCAUCGUUUCGUUGGUUAUUGGAAGGACAUAUGACGUCAUCAUACUACACCGUCACCGACGAUGAUUGCGUCAUGAACCUUAUGAAUAUUAACACUUUCUUUCAUGUGGAACGCUAUGAUGACGUCAUUUAUUGCGGAUUUAUUUUUGACCAAGAUUCAAAAGUUAACAGGCAGCGUAAAAGUAAAUGGUACAUCAGUAAAGACGUUUACUCUGGUCUUUACUAUCCCACCUUCUGCCACGGUGGAAUGUGGAGUCUACAGAAACCAAUGAUGCGUGACGUAUACUGUAUGGCGGAAGUGACGCAACGAAACGAGUUUUAUCUUGAAGAUGUUUAUAUUACAGGCAAGCACCAGUGUUAUUCUAUCUCUUAUUUAAAAAGUAGUAAAUGUCCCAAACGUGCUGCAUGUUUUGGGCAAAAUACAGAAGAAUGCAAUAGUAUUCUGUAGGACUUAGAUGGAUGUCGUUACUUCAUAAUAUCCCAUAUUUCACAAUCGAGUUUUUAACAAUUAACAAAGCUCUUUUAAAGUUGAAUACUGCGAGAAAAACUCGGACGAAGAGAUUCGAAUAUUUUACCUGCAACAACUAACAGCGGAUCAAAAUAUCUCCUAAUGUAUUAUCCCUGGGAUGAGACGAAUCGAGCUUAUAUUAAAAUGACUGCCAAGUGGCGAAAAUUAAACCGAACCCUACCAUGGGGUAUCAACUCAAGUUCGGGGGAGCCUUUGGUGGGAUCGUACAAACCGCAAACUUUGCACACUAAGCAAAAUGUAAAGCUUUUGUUGCUACAGUGGUCGCAUUUAAAGGACGCGGAAACGAAUAGAACUAAAUAAUUUACUGCCAUGUCUUUAUUGUUUCGCCAUUUCUUAUCAGUGUUAAACUAGAAAUAUAUCAACAUAAAAUA